UACGUAGGGUGCAAGCGUUGUCCGGAAUUAUUGGGCGUAAAGAGCUUGUAGGCGGUUUGUCGCGUCUGCUGUGAAAUUUCGGGGCUCAACCCCGAACUUGCAGUGGGUACGGGCAGACUAGAGUGUGGUAGGGGAGACUGGAAUUCCUGGUGUAGCGGUGAAAUGCGCAGAUAUCAGGAGGAACACCGGUGGCGAAGGCGGUGGUCUGGGCCGGAACUGACGCUGAGGAGCGAAAGCGUGGGGAGCGAACAGG
Molecule: ribosomal RNA, 253 nt
Filed under: uncultured bacterium
Lineage: Bacteria
Description: partial 16S ribosomal RNA
Rfam family: Bacterial small subunit ribosomal RNA
Source: RNAcentral